Balaenoptera acutorostrata (minke whale) is the source of this 7257-nucleotide RNA transcript. It is a transcript of the gene named eukaryotic translation initiation factor 4E binding protein 2, with no coding region annotated. NCBI's taxonomy places the organism in Eukaryota, Metazoa, Chordata, Mammalia, Artiodactyla, Balaenopteridae. The record is from RefSeq and is a predicted model, not a curated record. The transcript is spliced from 4 exons.
UUCGCCCGCUUCCGGUCGUCGUCGUCGUCGUCGCCGCUGCUGCUGCUGCUACUGCUGCUGCUGAGGCUGCUGGCGGAGGCCGGAGGGACGGGCGGCGGCGGCGGCGGCGGCUGAGAGGGCGGCGGCGGGAGCGGAGCGGGACGAGGGAGCGAGAGGAAGCGAGCGAGGAGCGAGCGGAGCGCGCCGAGCCCCGCCCGCCCUUCCGCCCGCCGGAGCAGCCGGAGCAGCCCGGGCCCCCAGCCGCCGCCGCCGCCGCCCGCCCGCCUGUCCGCCCGCCGGACAAAGCCCGAGAGCCCGCGCCCAGAGCCAUGUCCUCGUCCGCCGGCAGCGGCCACCAGCCCAGCCAGAGCCGCGCCAUCCCCACCCGCACCGUGCCCAUCAGCGACGCCGCGCAGCUACCUCAUGACUAUUGCACCACGCCCGGGGGGACGCUCUUUUCCACCACGCCGGGAGGAACUCGAAUCAUUUAUGAUCGAAAGUUUCUGUUGGAUCGUCGCAACUCUCCCAUGGCUCAGACCCCGCCCUGCCAUCUGCCCAAUAUCCCAGGAGUCACCAGCCCCAGCACCUUAAUUGAAGACUCCAAAAUAGAAGUAAACAAUUUGAACAACUUGAACAAUCAUGACAGGAAGCAUGCAGUUGGAGAUGAUGCUCAGUUUGAGAUGGACAUCUGACUGUCCUGCGAGGAUCAGAAGAAAAGCAGCAAGCAACACUGAUACACGUGUGUACCUGAUUUGGCCAAUAGGAUCAACAAUGCAAAGACAGAAGAGGCAGUACCAGCAAUCCCUAUUGCAGUCUCCUACUCCUGCUCCCCUGCUCCUUCUCCGGGUGCCAAAGGAUGCAAAGAUGAGCUGCAUCUGACCAUUUCUUCUCCCUAUUUCCUGUUCCCCUUCCCAGUUAGACAGAUUGAAGGCCCUUGGCAUAUUUCUGUAGAACUAAGCAGCCCACAGAGGAAAACAGUUAACCUCUGGUUCCCCCUUCCCCCCAUUUUUUUUUCCCCCCAUUUUUUUUUUAAUCCCAAAUCAAAUACCAGCCUACCAAUAAUUGGCUGGCUGGGAAGUCUGGGGAAGUGAUAUGGAGGUUUGAUAGGUUCAGCAUCAUUCCUGUUCUUAUCCUUUGUCUCUCCUCCCUGUCUUGCUCAUGUUUCACUGCUGCAAAAGUCUGGGUUUGGGGUCUUGAAAACCAUUGGAGGGAAAUGGUAAACAGGAAGAGAGCUGCUUUCUCUUUUACCUUGAGGUGUUUGUCCUUGGGGACAGAACGCUGUUUGUACAUCUCUGGUAGCAUUACCCUGGGGCACUGUUUUGAGGUCCACUUCCCCUCCUUCCUCUGGGAGGAAUGUCUUCUGUCUUUAGUAUUAUAGUGCAUCUUCCCAUUCGUUUACUUAUCACAAUUGUGCAAACAUUUCUUAACUCUACAUCAGAAGGGGGUCUUUGGUCACCAGCUGUUCUUUCCUCCCCUUCUCCCAUCCCUCCCUGCUUGCAUCUUGUUGCUUGCAGUCCUUUUGUACUCUGAGCUAUCCACGUGAUUUCUCCUGCUCCUGGAGCAGGUCCCUACGACAGGACAGAGGCUCUUUGGAUAAGGCCCGAUGUAUUGGGUUGAUCAAAAAGUUCGUUCUGGUUUUUCCGUAAGAUGUUACAGAAAAACCAGAAUGAACUUUUUGGCCAACCCUAUAGUCCUCUGCAGGAUGAUACCCAGGAAUGACCUCGGAAGACAUUGAACUGUUUGAGUACCCAGGCUCAGUAGUCAUUGUUUUUCAGUCCAGUGAGCAUUGUGAUAUUUGUUGUCUGUGAUUUUUGAGUUUGAAGUUGACUUUCAGAAUGCUCUUAGAAAAGAACUAAACUUUUUUCCUUUGUGGACCUGCUUUGUUUGGCUGCUGAGAUAGAGAAGCAUGGGCUUAAAAAUGCGUUCCUUCCACUUUUCUUACCUUUCCCAUGGUACUCUGAAUUUCCCUAUCUUUCCCUCCCUCCCUCCCGCCUUCCUUCCUUCCCUCCCUUAUCUCUGCCAGGCCAUUUUUCAUAUGUACAUCCAGGAUACCUCAAGUGUUGGUAUCUGAUAAUACCUGUCACUCCUCUUAACUGAGGAGUGACCUUUUAUUUUUAAGAUGAGUACAGACCUAUUUUUAGAUGUUUUCAGUACAGUUUUGAACAGCAACUUUUUAAUUACACAUCUUCCGGUGUUAGGAAGGUGAGAAUUGUCCGUAGGCGAGUCUGCUGUUCCAUGUCACCAUCCCUUGUCUUCCCUAGUCCCUUACGAGCUCUUUCCUUCUCGCUCUAGUUUUGGGUGUGCAUGUUUGGAGUUUGUAGUGGGUGGAUUGUGAAACUGGACCAUUCUGCCUUCCCUGGGUUGUUCAUGGAAACCUCAUUCUUUUCCCUUACCCUUUGCUGCUUCAUUCCCCAUCCCAUGGUCCUAUUGACUGGCACAGUAAUCCUGGGAGAGUGACUCCCCUCAUAGAAAGACAAGUAAAAUAGCCACUGGUGUCCUGGGAAUUUCUGGUUGGAUUUGGUGCCCUGAACCCUCUUAUUAAGAGAUCAGAUCCCAGGGUGAGAGUAACAGGCCAGUUGGCUAAGAUAGAAAGCUGUUUUUCUUUUGAACUAUGAAAAGACCCUGUUUGCGAAUACAUUUUAGACAGAAAGAAGGAAGGAUGUCUGAGGAACUUUGUUCUGUUUUCUGCUACAAAAUGUGAAGAGUUCAAAAAGUGAAACCUUUUGUGAUGGUUGAUGUCUCUCAGGAAUAAGCUGGGUCUCCAGAGUUUUGGAGAUGCUUUCAGUCUCAACAAUUGAUGAAUGGAAAAGUAUUUUUUGUUUGCUUUUUAAUGUAUCUCUGUUCUGAUUUUAAUUAAACUCCAAAUUUCACUUUACAUAUUCUUGGAACAACUUAAGGUGCAUUGGUAAUUUGCAUGAGAAGCUUGCUCAGGACCUCAUUGUCCCCUGGGAGCUUGAUUCUUUGGGAGUGACGCUUUCAUCCUCCUCAGGGCCCGGCCUGGGCAUCCUCUGGAGUCUGACUCCACUACAGCGAGUAGUCGGGCUGUCAGCAGAAGCACGCGCCCUUGUUUGCUCUUUACUGCUGCACAUGAAAACUCGGCUUCCUCACUGAGAGACGGGGAAUGAAUUUAAAACAUGCCAGCUUGAGUAGUCUUAAGAUGCCAUGUUCCCCUUUUUUGCUAUCUUGAGGAACUGCUGCAUGUGGCCCUCUAAUCAGAGGCCAUAUUUCUAGUAUUUCUUGGGAGUGUCAGCUGUAUAAUAUAGCAGCCGCCCAAUCCUUUAGCCAUCUCUAUAACGACCUCCAUCUGCUUGGUGCAAUUCCUUCCUGGAGGCCACUGCUACUAGAGAUACUGUGGCCUCCAUAAAUCGGCAUUUCAAAGGUAAUUUCACAAGGCAAUAGAUGAACUUCCAACAGAUGACACCUUUGUGCCAUGCCUCAUAGAAUCAUUUUCAGGGCAAGCCAGAAUCCAGUAGGUGGUUUACUCCUGUAUGUUUGGAAGGAAUCUCACAGUUGAAGCCCUAAAUGAAUAAUCUCUCUGGGCUUUUUCCUGGAAAGGGAACCCCCUUAGGGUAGCAUUUGAGUGAGGCGGUUCUUAAAAUCUUAUUGAUUAUUUGUACUUUUCUUCUUAGGAGAAAACCAUGUUUCUGUACUUCUGGGGACAAUCCAUGUCGGUGAGAAAUGACCUUGUCCAAAUUCCAGCAGGAGACAUGCAUUGUCAUGAUUCUAGCUCCUUCGUAGUGUGGUGCAUUGAGUUCACCACUUCCUCAUAUUCUGUUGAAAUAGCUAUUGUGUUCUCAAGACCACAGUGUAGAGAAGCUGGCUUCUAGCUAUUAGGCUUCCAAGCCAAGAGUUUUGUCCUUCCAUCUGCGUUAGUUAUCUAUUGCUGUUUAACACAUUACCCCCAAACUUAACAUCUUAAAAGAGCGAACAUUAUCUGUCAGUUUCUGUGGUUAGGACCUGGGAAGCAGCUUCACAUGAUGGGUCUGGCACAGGGUCAUAGGAAGUUGCAGGCAAGAUGUCAGCGGGGUCUGCAGUCACCUGGGGCUUGAGAAUCCACUUCUGAGCUUUCUUUGUGGCUGUUGGCAAAAUGCCUCAGUGUCUUCCUAUGUGGAUCUCUUUUUAGGGCAGCAUGAGUGUCCUCACAGCAUGGCAGCUGGCUCCCCCUGAGCAAGUGAUCCCAGAGAAAGAGGGCAAGGAGGAAUCUGCAGUGCCUUUUAUGACAGUCUCCGAAAGCACACGUCAUCACGCCUUCGUAUUCCGUUCUUUAGAAGCAAGCCACUAAGCCAGCCUACGCUCAAGGGGAGGGGAGUUACACCCCACCUACUGCAUGGAGCGGUAUCAAAGAAUUUUGGGUAUACUUUAAAACCACCUCACCCCCAAUAGAGGAUGAAACCAGGUCAACAAGAGGGGUAGGUUUAAAGUAGAUGAUAUACUGAGAGAGGUGUUGUUACUGAAAACAGUUCUCUUAAGACGUGCAUCGACAAACAGAUGAAAAACGGAUUCUCUCCCCAUGGCUACUGCCAGUUUUAAGAGGGGAGGCAAGAAAUGGCAAUUCCCAGGAGAAUGUAUCUAUACAUUUGCCUGGUGUAUACUACCAGCAGCCCAAGGUUGCUUCUUUGUAAGUCCUUGGCUUGGUAUCUAAGACUCAAUACUGCUUGCUCGCUCUCUCCUUUAGCCAGGAAUUGACAAAGGGAAUUGGAUCCUUCUAGUUGAGCCACUCAGAUGGACUUAAUUGGAGUCAGGGUUGUUAAGCAAAGGGAGCAAACUUGAAUUACAUUUUGGGUUACGGGGCUGAGGAAAGCUAACCGUUGCGAUUCAGGGUGACAUAGCUGAGAGCAUCCAGAAGCCAGGUCCCCACCAGAGUCGAUGCUUGGCACCUGCUCUCACAAACCACACCAGCUGAAGCAGACUUGGGCCAGGUCUCUCACUCAAGAAGCCACUUCUCAAUAAGUAGGGAACAUCUGGGAAUUUAAAAUGUCUGUCUGUGCUUUAUUGUUCUUUAAAUCCACUGCAGGUUAACUGCGUGCCCACCUCAUCCUGGGCUUCCUGAUGGAAAUGGGUUCUUAAAGAGAACCAAUGCUGUCUUCACCCUGAAGAAAAACUUAGAUGAAGCUUGUCAGUUCAACACGUGUUUAGUGAAUGUCUGCUAUGUGUUUCUGGCACCCGUGCCAAGUUUUUAGAGAUUUCAGACAUCUUAAGGAUGCAAAUUCUUGUUUGGAUUUAUGCUCCAGCUCUUCCCAGCAUUUUCUUAUCUGUAGACCUGCUUGCUUUAGAGUAUACUUGAAUAAAAAAGCAUUGCUGCUGAGGCAGCUAUAAAAAAAAAAAGGUACUUCUUCCAGAAUUAAGGAACUCAUCUUUAAAGCACCUUCAAAUGAAUUUUUUUCCAUCUGAUUUUGAGGUGGAGUCAAAAUAGGUGGUCUUUUAUUUUUGCUGUUUGGGUUACCAGCUCUUUGGGUCUGUCAGACCUUAGGGGUAUCACAUAUCUUGGCUGCUUGAAGCCUGGGCCCGCAGCCCUUUACAUUCCCCUCCAGACGGGAGGCCCGGUGCUUUUCUCUCUGGGUCAAAACUUUCCCUUAUCAUGUUUCUGGACUACAUGAUAAGGGGAGCUAUUUAUUAAUCUGCGAAACCCAAUCUCUUACCUGCCCAUGACAUCUAGGAGGGGGUAGUAUUUGCUUUAAAGAAGUUGUUUCCUUGGGAGGGCAAUUUCUGUCUGGACUUUGAAGGGGGCAUAGUUACCACACAUUACUAUCCCUACCACCACCACGUUCUUUACCUCUGUCCCAGCUUUUAAUAAAAGAUGACAUCAGAUCUUGAGGCAGUUGGGUCACAAUUCUUUAGAAUGCUUAUACCCCAGGGGCAUUUCCUGUUCCAGUCAUGUUUUUCCAGUUGAGUAUUGGCGUUUCCCUGAGGCUUGCUCACAGACAUUUCUGAUUGAAGAUUAAGGAUGGUUGAUACAAUCAUUCAUGUCACCUUUCCCACCCUCUGGAAUUUACAUUUCUUUCUCUGGGCUGGUCCUGGAAGUUGACACCUUUUGGCAAAGCUUAGAUUUAGGAGAAGUCUUUCAAGUCCCUGUUCAGAUGAUCUGUGGUUUCUCUUUGCUUCCUCUGCCUGCAACCCUGGCAGACCAUACUGUCUGGAUCCCAAAUGGAAAAUAGUACUGAGAGGAAACACAUUCCUGGGGUAUUUAAACUCUCACUCUGCCACCUUUCUAAGAGUUGGAGGCUGGCAGAGAGAUGCUGCAGUGCUUGAUAAUCAUUUGGCCACACUGAAAUUUCCAAAGGGAGCUCUUGCCGGUGCUUAAACCCAAAAUUCCUGAACACCUGAGAUUGCAUGAAUCUAGCACAGAAUAUCCAUUCUUGCCCCAAUGUACCCCCUUCCUCUCCAUCUCAAUCUUUAAAACAAAACAAAACAAAAAACCCAAGCCCAGGCCAAGGGUCGUUUUUACUUGAAACCAGGAGAGCGGGGGAGUAACACGGGAGAUGAGGGGCGAGCCGUGUGGUGAGGCACCCUGCUCCGGGUGUCUGUUCCCGUCACUGAGGACUGUGAGCCAGUGCCUUUCCUCCGCCUGGACGUGGAGCCCAUCUCUCCGCCUGGCUGAGGAGACCCUCUGCUACCCAGGGGUGAACCUUCAAGAGGGUGUCUUGGAGAGCCCAGAGGACACUCACAUUUUUCGGGUGUCCAUUUUAAGCAUCUUUAAAAUGUUUUAUAUAUUAAAAAAAAAAAAAUGUUCUUCCCUGUCUUUGUGCAACCAGUGGCCCAGUUCCAUCCAUUCUGAAUGGAAAAACGGAGACUGCCAGUGCUUUCCUUGGUCUUCCCUUCGUCUCCCUUAAUGUGGGUAUCCCCUUACCCGGCCUGUGCAUUGCACUGUCGUGGAUGGAGAACAGAGGGCACCACGCAGUCCUGAGGCAGUCCUGUGUGACUCCGUGAUCAGGUGAAAUCCUGUUGAUACAUUUUGGGCAUCUUGCCUGGUGAGGAAGAUGGGCAAAGGCAGUUGGCCACUUCAUGUGUCAGUUCAUCUCAACAUUUACGGAGCACUUUGUCCAUCUGGCCCUGUAUGUGCCAGGAGGUGAUGUGUCCCUUCCCGAAGGAGCUUGGAGGUGAACACGUACAUGCUGGGGCUGGAUGCACCCAAGAAGGCCCUUCUUUAGGUACCAGCCUGGAGGAAGCCCAGGCAACAGCUUUCCUGACGAGGGCUGCCUCUGCCCCUCAGGAGCACGUGUUAGAAAUCCAUCAUAUCUGAUGUCUGAAAAUAAACUAGACUCUGCUGCGUGAGCAUCA